CCCAGCAAUGGGAUGCGAAUCUCGAAAGCCUGUCUCAGUUCGGAUUGGAGGCUGAAACCCGCCUCCAUGAAGUUGGAUUCGCUAGUAAUCGCGCAUCAGCCAUGGCGCGGUGAAUACGUUCCCGGGCCUUGUACACACCGCCCGUCAAGCCAUGGGAGCCGGGGGUGCCUGAAGUUCGUGACCGCAAGGAGCGACCUAGGGCAAAACUGGUGACUGGGCUAAGUCGUAACAAGGUAUC
RNAcentral lists this ribosomal RNA (238 nucleotides) under uncultured bacterium. RNAcentral describes it as "partial 16S ribosomal RNA". It matches the Rfam family "Bacterial small subunit ribosomal RNA", at positions 1253 to 1500 of the family's 1533-position model. The record is from RNAcentral.